Long non-coding RNA from Ailuropoda melanoleuca (giant panda), 295 nucleotides. RefSeq lists it as uncharacterized. The record is from RefSeq and is a predicted model, not a curated record. Lineage: Eukaryota; Metazoa; Chordata; Mammalia; Carnivora; Ursidae. The transcript has 3 exons.
CCCCUGGCUAUUCUCUUUCUGCACUGCUCCAGGGACACCCCCAAAAGAACAUCCGUCCUUCUCUGCUGAAUCCCGCCGAGAACUGAUGCUUUCUCCUUCUUUUCCAACCUCAUCACAACCAACAAAGUACAAGGCUUAUGAAAAGGUUGUCCUGAGAUAACUGCAAAAACCACAUACAGAUACACAGUACAUACAGAGAUCCUGCCAGCCAACUAGAAUAAUAAUAUGAAGAUUUGCGAGUGUGUGUUCCUGUGAGGUCAUCUACAGCAAAAUAAAAUAGAGUACUUAGUCAAUC